GACGUAGGGUGCAAGCGUUGUCCGGAUUUAUUGGGCGUAAAGAGCUCGUAGGCGGCUUGUUGCGUCGACUGUGAAAACCCGCGGCUUAACCGCGGGCUUGCAGUUGAUACGGGCAGGCUAGAGUUCGGUAGGGGAGACUGGAAUUCCUGGUGUAGCGGUGAAAUGCGCAGAUAUCAGGAGGAACACCGGUGGCGAAGGCGGGUCUCUGGGCCGUAACUGACGCUGAGGAGCGAAAGCGUGGGGAGCGAACAGG
Molecule: ribosomal RNA, 253 nt
Filed under: uncultured bacterium
Lineage: Bacteria
Description: partial 16S ribosomal RNA
Rfam family: Bacterial small subunit ribosomal RNA
Source: RNAcentral